CACAGAACACAAAUAACAGUAAAACUCGACCCGUGAUCCAUGAACAGAGAUGUCAGAUUUCAGAUUGAAGGUACUGGACCAGAUCAACAACUGCCAUUGAGAUGAGUGGAGAUGUGAACACAAUCUUACACCACCGGUCCAAAGUUUUUGAACUGACACAGACGGAGGCAGAGAGUUAAGUGAACACAGAUGUUGUUUAUUAGACAGAGGCACAAACACAGGUGAAGGGAUCAAUGUGGAACGGAGAACAGGAGACGGAGGACGAGAUGGAGACACGGGAAACUCGGGUGAGUAGCGGGUAGGGCUGCACGAUUAAUCGUAUUUUAAUCUCAAUAACGAUAUCUGCUUCUCUUGAUUGAUUACAAAUAAUCGUCACGAUAUUGGCCCGCUCAUUAUUUAUCCUGAAAACGUGUUUUUCUUUGGGAGAUGCAAAGAGCUU
This is a long non-coding RNA of Megalobrama amblycephala (Wuchang bream), 439 nucleotides long. RefSeq lists it as uncharacterized. The record is from RefSeq and is a predicted model, not a curated record. NCBI's taxonomy places the organism in Eukaryota, Metazoa, Chordata, Actinopteri, Cypriniformes, Xenocyprididae. The transcript is spliced from 3 exons.